UACGUAGGGGGCAAGCGUUGUCCGGAAUCAUUGGGCGUAAAGCGCGCGUAGGCGGCCCGGUAAGUCCGCUGUAAAAGUCAAAGGCUCAACCUUUGAAUGCCGGUGGAUACUGUCGGGCUAGAGUCCGGAAGAGGCGAGUGGAAUUCCUGGUGUAGCGGUGGAAUGCGCAGAUAUCAGGAAGAACACCCGUGGCGAAGGCGGCUCUCUGGGACGGUACUGACGCUGAGACGCGAAAGCGUGGGGAGCGAACAGG
This 253-nucleotide ribosomal RNA is filed under the name uncultured bacterium. RNAcentral describes it as "partial 16S ribosomal RNA". It matches the Rfam family "Bacterial small subunit ribosomal RNA", at positions 524 to 776 of the family's 1533-position model. The record is from RNAcentral.